Molecule: long non-coding RNA, 3283 nt
Filed under: Canis lupus familiaris (dog)
Lineage: Eukaryota; Metazoa; Chordata; Mammalia; Carnivora; Canidae
Description: lncRNA (ENSCAFG00030004872.1)
Source: RNAcentral
AUGGCAGGAAGAACUUCCAGGGGCGGGUCGCAGGCUCCUUGCAGGGCCCGGGCCGAGGCGCUGGGUGUCCCCUAUCCGGGCCCGCCGCCGCCGCCUCGGGUCGCGGUGCCCGCAGCUCCGUGGCCGUCCGGGCCUGGACGCGCGCGCUCGGCCGCGGUUCUGGCCCCGGCAGAGGCAUUGCCUGGCAGUGGAGACGAGACUCCGGUGAAGCCGGAUCAUAAUCCGAGAUCGCAGAGCUCCUUCAGGUUAGCGAUGGACUGAGAACCAGGGCCUUACGCACGUGUAUCAGUUUCAGGAUAUUUCAAGAUUUUUAUUUUCAAGUAAUUUCUACACCAAACAUGGGCUUGAACUUACGACCACGAGAUCAAGAGUAGCAUGCUGUACCAACUGAUCCAGCCAGGUAUCCCUAUUUCAAGAAUGUUAGUUUGCCAUUGUCCAGGAUUUUUAGAUGAGAAAAAGGGUAAAUAUAAAAGAAAAAGCAAAUUCCCCUCGUCACAUCUGGAAAUUUUACAUUUUUCCUUAUAAGCCCUUCCAUCAAGAAUUAUUUAAAUAAAGACAUUUUGAUCAUUUACAUGUGUGCUAAUUUCAUUCACACAGGAAUCUUGGGGCAGGAGCCAGGAGGGCUGCUUCCCAGGACCUCUUUUGAUCCUGAUGGGAUGUCUACAGAUCCAGAUCACACGCUGAUUGGAGCCCAGCUCUAUGGUUGGGGUGGGGAAGGUGGGUAGAGUAGAACCGCAGAGAAACUAAAGAUGUAGGAACUGUUCCUUGGCUAAACUCAGAAGAAUUGUUCAAGCAGAAAGAUAUCCUACUUAACCAGAUUCUCAGAUCCCUGCCUCAUUGUAUAUCCACUCCCCGACUCACCCAGAUUUUAAGGCUGACUUUGUAUGAGGCUAAAAUUGGCACUCCUUUGUCCCUGGUCAGCUUGAACACUUCUAACCCAACCCUGCCCAGGACCAAAGAAGAGGAGAGCUCUAAAUUCCUACCGCUAGUAGGUCCCAAGGGUAGCUCAGGAUCAGAGCUUUGUCCCCGGCCCUUCACCCUUCACUCUUCUCCCUUCUCCAGCUCCAUACCUUUAUCAGAGUACUAAUGGGAGAGAAAAAGGACUUCCUCACAUAUGCACCCUCCCUCUCCUCUUGUAAUUCUGUCUACUAUUGAGAAAGGGCACAAAACAUUUAUGAAAGGCCUCUAAAAACAACAUUUAUUGUCUUAUUAGGGACUACAUGAAGAGACAAGUUCCCAGGCUGAUCCUUCAGCUUUCCUAAGGCCAUAUGGUCCUAAGGCCUCAUGGUUCAAAAGUAGCAUGUAUCCAGGGUGGGGUAGGGGAGGACAGCAUCAUUCUGGAGGUCUCCACCACCACAGAUCUCCAGUCUCUGGGGUGUGUGUCCAGAGCUGGAUGGAUGUGGCUAAGAGCCAGCCAUGGCAGGUAGCUGUCCAGUGUUCUGUAGUACCAUGUUCUCUGGGGGCUGUCUGACUCCUUUUGGCUCGUGGAUGAUGGCUCCUAUGCAGACAGAUCUAAGUCUGGCUCCAAAGUGUUCUGGGUUCCAGAUGAGUGGCUGUGUUGAGGGCAGGUGUGGCUCAGUAGCCCACACAGACUAGAAAGUAGUUCCCAGUUGAAAUAUAUACUGUCCCACCAGGGCUCCCCCAGCUUAGGGUAGAAAGGGAGAGGCCAUGGCCCCAAAUCUUUUGAGCUCAGAGGCAAAGGCAGUGGGGGUUCUAGCACCACCUCUGCAGAUUCCCAAGCCUUCUUCACACAGUGGCAAAAAGGCUGGUCCAUGACUUCCACCUCUGAAUCUGGAGAAAUGGAGUGUCUAGACGGAGAGAAGAGGCAAAGGACUGAGCUUAGCAUGGAGCUUUUUUUUUUUUUCCGAGGACAUGAUUGCUACGUUUAAUUCAAUGGUUAUACCCAAUCCUGUCUUGUAAAACCAAAACACCCCUAUCAAAACUACAUUGUGAUGUGAGUACAGGUUUCUCGUUUUUGAUACAGCUCUAGAAAAAAGUUGGCACCAAAUGCACAUUAAAAGAAGUUUUAAGGCUUAAUAAAAAUACAGACUAAGGAUUCCAAAAUGCAGCUUAGAGGUUGAGAACAGGAUGCUGAGUUAAUGAACCUUCCAAAUACAGGCAGUCCCCGGUGUAUUGAGCAUUUCCCAAAUAUAAAUGGGCUCACAGGAGUAGGAAGUCCUCUCCUGCUUCUCUCAGUGACCAGGCUACCAGGCACCUAAACCCACUUCUACAGCUCGGGGGAGGGAAGGGCGGGGAGAGCAGGAAGGGAGGGCACCCGUCUGUACUGUGCAGAGACUCCUGCUCAGUUCCCCUGUGCCUCCAUCCCUACUUCUAGCAUGGGACUUCAUAUACUGUUUGGUCUCUUGUGCAGUCCCAAAUUACAGUGCAUUAGGUAGGGUGGUGACAUUACUUUGAGACAAAUUGUUUCAGAAGGCUGAGUCUGAUGAUGUUAAGUCAAAAGUAGAAUCAUAUUGAUCCCAAUUCUAUAAAGUUUGUAUAUAAAGUUUGUACUAUAAAGUUUGUAUAAAAAGUUUGUACUAUAAAGUUUGUAUAUAAAGUUUGUAUAUAAAGUUUGUACUAUAAACUGGUAUCAGUGAUUAAUAGGGUUAAAGUUAAAAACAAGAAAGAUCACAAAUGGGGUUACUCUGUGUGAAAAACCAGAUACAUUCUGUGUCCUUUACAUAUGUGAUAUUGGAUAUUCUCAUCAUCACCUGAAAUUAGAGCACAGGCUUUGCUAGAGUGGAGGUGAAAACCUGGGUCUCCAGAGAGAUUUCUGUAGGGGGACUGGUUUGGAGAGGCGGUAAGGACCAAAGUGAUUCAUCAAUUCUCCAGUCUUGAUUUGAACUCUCAACUUCCUGCUUUGGUCCUCUACUUCUGGAUUCCUAAAUGACAACCGAGAGGAGAGAGAGACAAAAGAGCUUUAGAUAUCAAAAGAUUACAUGUUUUGGGUUCCAAUUCUUAUUUCAACCUUUACCAAGUGUAUAUAAUUAUUAAACUAAGUUGCUCUUUUAAAAGAUUUUAUUUAUUCAUGAGAGACACAGGCAGAGGGAGAAGCAGGCUCUGUGCAGGGAGCCGGAUGCGGGACUUGAUCCCAGGUCUCCAGGAUCAGGCCCUGGGCCAAAGGCAGGCCCUAAACCGCUCAGCCACCUAGGGAUUCCCCUGCCAGUUGCUUUUUUUAAACUGUGAAGGGAGGACAAAAAAUACUGAUUUCAAAAGGCAGCUGUGAGGAUUUAAUAAAAUAUUGGUAAGGUGACAGUUCCUGACACACAACUAAUAACCUUUG